GCACAAGCGGUGGAGCAUUGUGGUUUAAUUCGACGCAACGCGAAGAACCUUACCUAGGUUUUGACAUCCCGGGGAGUCUCUUGAAAGAGAGAUGUGCCCUUCGGGAGCUUGCACAGGUGCUGCAUGGCUGUCGUCAGCUCGUGUCGUGAGAUGUUCGGUUAAGUCCGCUAACGAGCGCAACCCUCGCUGUGUGUUAUAUGUGUCACACGGGACUGCCGGUCUUAAGCCGGAGGAAGGUGGGGAUGAUGUCAAGUCAGCAUGGCCUUUAUAUCCUGGGCUACACACACGCUACAAUGGCCAGCACAGUAGGUUGCUAAGCCGCGAGGUGGAGCCAAUCCAUAAAGCUGGUCUCAGUUCAGAUUGCAGGCUGCAACCCGCCUGCAUGAAGAUGGAGUUGCUAGUAACCGCAGGUCAGCUAUACUGCGGUGAAUACGUUCCCGGGGCUU
RNAcentral lists this ribosomal RNA (446 nucleotides) under uncultured Leptolinea sp. RNAcentral describes it as "bacterial SSU rRNA". It matches the Rfam family "Bacterial small subunit ribosomal RNA", at positions 923 to 1382 of the family's 1533-position model. The record is from RNAcentral. Lineage: Bacteria; Bacillati; Chloroflexota; Anaerolineae; Anaerolineales; Anaerolineaceae.